GCGAUGUUCACCACACGGCACACCAUGUACUCAUUUGAGGCCGAGUCGACCUAGACGAGUCCCAGGACCUGAUUCAAGAAAGUCGAUACUGGUGUUUCUGUCAUCCGUGAGCGGGAAUCGAACUCAGGUUGCUGGUGGCCCUUUACUUGCUCGAAUAAAAAAAUCUGAAAUAGUUUAAGUGUUCAUAAUUAAGGUCUUUGGGUUAGAUCGCGUUAUUAUUCAUAAAUGUGUCGCAACCCUCCCACCACCCGACACGGCCAAUCAAUAAUAAAUGUUUCAUGUUGACAAAACGUCAAUCAGUUUACUCCUCCAGCCCGUCGGCGCGCGUCCGCGUGCGUGAAGAGUGAAUCCACAACAUGAAGAAUUCGAGUUGUACGACGUUUCGCUGGUAAUUACAACCGGCAACUACAGGGGCGAUUAGCCAGAAUCGUGAAGCCCUCCCACCUGCUUCCGGUUUUAAGUAGUUGCAGGAUGACGUCUUCGUUGUUGAACCCCGUCACGUUUCGAGAUCAGCGGCGGAGGUGGGGUUAUGGGGUAUUGUAAUUAUAUAAUAGAUUAUUAAUCAGUUAAUUAGCAUUUGACUCCUCUCUAAGGAAUUGCAAUGUGCGUUGUAUAUUGCUGAAGUGUUCUGCAGUUUCUCUCUCUCUCUCUCCCGGUAUCGCUAAAAUCAAACGUUGCAGUGGCACGUUUGCUAAUUAUCAGAUAAUGUGCUUAUUUAUAAUAGUUGUUUGCCUUUUGAUUCAUCAUACAUUUUAUUCACGUAACCCUUUUUGCUGAUUUUUUUAACCGUUACAUGAACAGGACUGGUGACAUGUGAUCAUGUGAAGCAACCCUUAAACACAUGAAAAGACAUAGGUUUAGGAUUUAUGAGUAAAGCUCUACUAUCUACACGACAUACAUAGACGUCCAAUUAAAAAAAAAAAAACUUUAAUAUCUUUGGAACAGUAGCCAGUCAGUUGUUUUAAUUGUCAUAUUUGAAUUCAGCGCGUCAAAAUCCAUAACAAAGAGCACAUGUCACCUCUGAAGCAGACCAUGUCUAUAAAAAAAAACAUGUAGACCAGUGGAAUGUAAUCCUGUUUGUUUGCGUGGUCAGAUCUGUAACUCACAAGCGGGAGACGAAGGCAAUCCUCAAAUCUGGGCUUACGCAUCAAGAAGCUCCGUUUGUGUUCCAUCGCGUGUAAGGUGGAAGGAGCUGGUCACGGUGACUCACGUGGAGUUGAUGCGAUACGAAUGAGAUUCGUGGGUGGAGUUGCGAUGAUGUUGGGAGACUCGCCCUGGAGAUCACAGAACCACGUUGUAUCGCAGGGUUAAUUAACGAGCUAUGAGUCUGUCUCUGUGUGUAACUUGGGGUGGAUGGGGCUGGUCACGGUGACUCACGUGGAGUUGAUGCGAUACGAAUGAGAGUCGUGGGUGGAGUUGCGAUGCUUUUGGGAGACUCGCCCUGGAGAUCACAGAACCACGUUGAUCGAAGGGUUAAUUAACGAGCUAUGACUCUGUCUCUGUGUGUAACUUGGGGUGGAUGGGGCUGGUCACGGUGACUCACGUGGAGUUGAUGCGAUACGAAUGACAGUCGUGGGUGGAGUUGCGAUGAUGUUGGGAGACUCGCCCUGGAGAUCACAGAACCACGUUUUAUCGCAGGGUUAAUUAGCGAGCUGUAAGUCUGUCUCUGUGUGUAACUUGGGGUGGUCACGGUGACUCACGUGGAGUUGAUGCGAUACGAAUGAGAGUCGUGGGUGGAGUUGCGAUGAUGUUGGGAGACUCGCCCUGGAUAUCACAGAACCACGUUGAUCGAAGGGUUAAUUAGCGAGCUGUAAGUCUGUCUCUGUGUGUAACUUGGGGUGGUCACGGUGACUCACGUGGAGUUGAUGCGAUACGAAUGAGAGUCGUGGGUGGAGUUGCGAUGAUGUUGGGAGACUCGCCCUGGAGAUCACAGAACCACGUUUUAUCGCAGGGUUAAUUAACGAGCUAUGACUCUGUCUCUGUGUGUAACUUGGGGUGGAUGGAGCUGGUCACGGUGACUCACGUGGAGUUGAUGCGAUACGAAUGAGAGUCGUGGGUGGAGUUGCGAUGAUGUUGGGAGACUCGCCCUGGAGAUCACAGAACCACGUUUUAUCGCAGGGUUAAUUAACGAGCUAUGAGUCUGUCUCUGUGUGUAACUUGGGGUGGUCACGGUGACUCACGUGGAGUUGAUGCGAUACGAAUGAGAGUCGUGGGUGGAGUUGCGAUGAUGUUGGGAGACUCGCCCUGGAGAUCACAGACACACGUUUUAUCGCAGGGUUAAUUAACGAGCUAUGACUCUGUCUCUGUGUGUAACUUGGGGUGGAUGGGGCUGGUCACGGUGACUCACGUGGAGUUGAUGCGAUACGAAUGAGAGUCGUGGGUGGAGUUGCGAUGAUGUUGGGAGACUCGCCCUGGAGAUCACAGAACCACGUUGAUUGAAGGGUUAAUUAACGAGCUGUAAGUCUGUCUCUGUGUGUAACUUGGGGUGGUCACGGUGACUCACGUGGAGUUGAUGCGAUACGAAUGAGAGUCGUGGGUGGAGUUGCGAUGCUGUUGGGAGACUCGCCCUGGAUAUCACAGAACCACGUUGAUCGAAGGGUUAAUUAGCGAGCUGUAAGUCUGUCUCUGUGUGUAACUUGGGGUGGUCACGGUGACUCACGUGGAGUUGAUCCGAUACGAAUGAGAGUCGUGGGUGGAGUUGCGAUGCUGUUGGGAGACUCGCCCUGGAGAUCACAGAACCACGUUGAUCGAAGGGUUAAUUAGCGAGCUGUGAGUCUGUCUCUGUGUGUAACUUGGGGUGGUCACGGUGACUCACGUGGAGUUGAUGCGAUACGAAUGAGAGUCGUGCGUGGAGUUGCGAUGAUGUUGGGAGACUCGCCCUGGAGAUCACAGAACCACGUUUUAUCGCAGAGUUAAUUAACGAGCUAUGACUCUGUCUCUGUGUGUAACUUGGGGUGGAUGGGGCUGGUCACGGUGACUCACGUGGAGUUGAUGCGAUACGAAUGAGAGUCGUGGGUGGAGUUGCGAUGCUGUUGGGAGACUCGCCCUGGAUAUCACAGAACCACGUUUUAUCGCAGGGUUAAUUAGCGAGCUGUAAGUCUGUCUCUGUGUGUAACUUGGGGUGGUCACGGUGACUCACGUGGAGUUGAUGCGAUACGAAUGAGAGUCCGUGGGUGGAGUUGCGAUGCUGUUGGGAGACUCGCCCUGGAUAUCACAGAACCACGUUGAUCGAAGGGUUAAUUAACGAGCUAUGAGUCUGUCUCUGUGUGUAACUUGGGGUGGUCACGGUGACUCACGUGGAGUUGAUGCGAUACGAAUGAGAGUCGUGGGUGGAGUUGCGAUGAUGUUGGGAGACUCGCCCUGGAGAUCACAGAACCACGUUUUAUCGCAGGGUUAAUUAACGAGCUAUGACUCUGUCUCUGUGUGUAACUUGGGGUGGAUGGGGCUGGUCACAGUGACUCACGUGGAGUUGAUGCGAUACGAAUGAGAGUCGAGAGUGGAGUUGAAAUACUGUUUGGGAGACUCGCCCUGGAUAUCA
Petromyzon marinus (sea lamprey) is the source of this 3538-nucleotide non-coding RNA. Lineage: Eukaryota; Metazoa; Chordata; Hyperoartia; Petromyzontiformes; Petromyzontidae. The record is from RefSeq and is a predicted model, not a curated record.